AUGCGAAUUCCACAACGAUCACGAGAGGUGCAUAAACAUCCAAAUGCACAUGAUCAAGUUAAUGUUCCUAUACCAUCAUUUAAUGGCCGUUUUAGACCCGCUUUAUAUAUUGAAUGGGAGUUCUACAUAAAUAAUAUAUUUGCUUCCCAUAAUUUUGUUGAAUAUAAAAAAGUUAAGGUUGCGGUUGGUUCUUUCACUGGUUAUGCUUUAGUUUGGUGGAGUGAAUAUUGUCGGUUACACCCUGAUUAUAUACCUAUUACUUGGGAUGAUUUGAAACUUGCCAUGCGACAUACAUUCGUGCCCGCUUAUUAUACUCGUGACAUGAUUCAAAAGUUGCAACAUUUAAAACAAGGUAGUGACACUGUAAUGAAAUAUUAUGAUGAUUUACAAACUACCUUGUUGCAUUCCUCUUUAGAAAAAACUGAAGAUGAUUUUAUGGAUAGAUUUUGGGGAGGAUUAAACCGUGACAUUCAGGAGAUACUAAUUCAUGAAAAGUGUUAUCCUAUGGACCGUUUGUUUCGUCUUGCUUGCAAAGCUGAACAGGAGAUAACAAGACGUGUUGCCCAGAAGGCAAACAAGCAGAAGGUGCAAAUCCCAAGAGUUGUGACGGUUGUUCCUUCCACCACUGCGCCUACUAUGACAACAACAUCCAUUGUUGUGAGCACUACAUCACCUCCACCACGUGACCUGUCGCCACCUAGAGUGCCUACAUCAUCUGAGUUAACCAAAAUAGGUAAUGACAAAGGUAUUAAUCUUCCACCUUCACACGAGUAUGAUGAAUGCCUUGUUAAUUUAAAUGCACCAUGCCAUGAGCUACUUACUACUUUGAUCACACCAGCUAUUUUAGAGGACUCUGUUGAUGAUUUGAUUUUGCCAUGUGAUCAAACAAUUUGA
This 894-nucleotide ribosomal RNA is filed under the name Triticum aestivum (bread wheat). Its description in RNAcentral is "partial small subunit ribosomal RNA". The record is from RNAcentral. Lineage: Eukaryota; Viridiplantae; Streptophyta; Magnoliopsida; Poales; Poaceae.